ACUUUGAAGAGAGAGUUCAAGAGUACGUGAAACUGCCCAGAGGCAAACGGGUGGGCCCUCGAAGUUUCUUGCGGGUGGAUUCAGUCAGGAGUCUACGAUCCUCUCUCUCGGUACGUGACCUUUCGAUGGAAAGGGACUCCGGUCUGAGGCGUGACUCAUAGAGGGCCUGACGCAUUUCCAACCCGCACGAAGGACGCCGCAGCCGGUUGGGCAGUGUCGGCCAUGAGGUGGGGCAGUGGCAGUAGGCCGUUUCUCGCCGUAUAGGCGUUUGCCGGUUGUUUAGCCAGCCCUUCCGUGGCGCGACACCCGACCGAGGUGGAGGAGGUUUCCACUACAUGGAUCCUCGCCGUCUAAUCCCGCCCAAGUGGCGAGAGCGGGCCGGCGGACAGGUGAGUUGCUGCGCUAUACCGCUUUAGUCUGGGACAGGGUGGUGCGUAACUUCCGCCGGUGGUCCGUCCCGGUUAAACCGCAGCAAGAUGUGGGGAUGGCUUGUGGCGAGUAGGUCGGUCACCCACCCGACCCGUCUUGAAACACGGACCAAGGAGUCUAACAUGUGCGCAAGUCAUGGGGUCUUGAUCAGGCCCAGAGGCGUAAUGAAGGUGAGAUGCCUCGCCUCUCCAAGGUGGAGGCAAGUUGGGAUUUCCCGGGAAGCCCGAGGAAAGCACCAACGACCCGCCCGAUCUCAAAUUGAUUUGAGCGGACGGAGUUUGAGCGCACACGUUGGGACCCGAAAGAUGGUGAACUAUGCCUGGGCAGGACGAAGUCAGAGGAAACUCUGGUGGAGGUCCGCAGCGGUUCUGACGU
This 804-nucleotide ribosomal RNA is filed under the name Antrodiaetus apachecus. RNAcentral's name for it is "eukaryotic LSU rRNA". It matches the Rfam family "Eukaryotic large subunit ribosomal RNA", at positions 373 to 892 of the family's 3401-position model. The record is from RNAcentral. Lineage: Eukaryota; Metazoa; Arthropoda; Arachnida; Araneae; Antrodiaetidae.